Molecule: long non-coding RNA, 252 nt
Filed under: Mytilus galloprovincialis (Mediterranean mussel)
Lineage: Eukaryota; Metazoa; Mollusca; Bivalvia; Mytilida; Mytilidae
Source: RNAcentral
GUGUUAUCUGGAAUAUGAUACCAUAUCUGUUAAUCAUUACAUUAUCAUCCAUUUGUUUGCUGUGUUUGAGCUUUUGAUCUUGCCGUUUGAAUGGAAGAUUUCCGUUUUGAACUGUCCCCGGUGUUUUUUGUUUUUAUUUCUUUUCUUUUUUUUAAAAUCCUCAACCAAGUUUUUGCAUUUAUAUCGGCGAAAAGCAAUGGUUAAACAUCGCUGUUUUAUUAUUAUUGAUGUCGGAAGAAACCCCAUCGUAAG